RNAcentral lists this ribosomal RNA (548 nucleotides) under uncultured fungus. Its description in RNAcentral is "eukaryotic LSU rRNA". The stretch from base 190 to 343 matches the Rfam family "5.8S ribosomal RNA". The record is from RNAcentral. Lineage: Eukaryota; Fungi.
AAGUCGUAACAAGGUUUCCGUAGGUGAACCUGCGGAAGGAUCAUUACCUAGAGUUUGUAGACUUCGGUCUGCUACCUCUUACCCAUGUCUUUUGAGUACCUUCGUUUCCUCGGCGGGUCCGUCCGCCGAUUGGACAACAUUCAAACCCUUUGCAGUUGCAAUCAGCGUCUGAAAAAACAUAAUAGUUACAACUUUCAACAACGGAUCUCUUGGUUCUGGCAUCGAUGAAGAACGCAGCGAAAUGCGAUAAGUAGUGUGAAUUGCAGAAUUCAGUGAAUCAUCGAAUCUUUGAACGCACAUUGCGCCCCUUGGUAUUCCAUGGGGCAUGCCUGUUCGAGCGUCAUUUGUACCUUCAAGCUCUGCUUGGUGUUGGGUGUUUGUCUCGCCUCUGCGUGUAGACUCGCCUUAAAACAAUUGGCAGCCGGCGUAUUGAUUUCGGAGCGCAGUACAUCUCGCGCUUUGCACUCAUAACGACGACGUCCAAAAGUACAUUUUUACACUCUUGACCUCGGAUCAGGUAGGGAUACCCGCUGAACUUAAGCAUAUCA